AGAGACCACUAUGGUGAAGCAACCAAAUGCAAUUGAUUUAUUCAUUGAUUUGAUUGUUGUUUGAUCACUGACACAACACUGAAGUCUGGACCUGAUAUGGUACUUUAGGUCAAGGUUCAAGUCAUAGGCUAUCAGCAACCAAGGUCCCUAUAACAAUCUAAUAACAACUUCACCAGUAUUAACAACACACAAUGUAUGGGGCUUUUACAGAGCAGAAGAUACAAAGCAGGCCAUGGAAACACAGAAUUGAGUAGGCCAAAUUACUUUAUCCUUAAAUAGGUAUAUACUACUUAUCUGAAAAUACAUUACCCUAAAGAGAAUUGACAUCCUUAUGAUGCAUGUGAAGUGUAGGGCAACAGGUAGCCUUGCAGUUAAUUAAGAGCUUUGGGCUAGUAACCAAACGGUCACUGGAUUGAAUCCACAAGCCGACCAGGUGAAAAAUCUGUCGAUGUGCCCUUGAGCAUGGCACUUAACCCUAAUUGCUCUUGUAAGUGAGCAUCUGCUAAAUUAUUUAAAUGUCGGUGACUAAGGGUGACCGAUGUUGUUUACAAACAUCCUUCCAUGUGUGUCAUGCUAGUGAUGAAGCUGAGCUUGUUUUGCUUUGCACAACUAGUCAGAAAAAAACAAUAAUGCAGAAAGUGUGUGAUUUACUAAAGUAGGGUAUAUUACAAUCCACUUUGAUAACAAUAAUACAACUUUAAUAAACUAUAAAAACAUACAUGCUCCACCAAAGAAAUUCUAAGAGCAUUUAGGAGGUCAAAAGUAAUUUGUUUACAUGUUUACAAAAGCAUGUAGGCCUACUGAGAGAAAAAUAUAAAUACCUCUACAAGAAAAGCAACGUUAUGUGUAGGCUACAGUGUACACAGUACUUUGACAGAGGAUAGAUAGACACAUUGACUUGAGAGUAGUUGGGUGGGUGGGGGGCCCGUCUGGCUGUCUGUCUCACUACGUUGACCUAACUGUAGGCUAUAGGUCUGUCAACAAUCCAUGUGACUCUGGUUUGGUCAGCUAAAAUCCCUAUGGGAAUAGUCAAUACCAAAAUGUAGUUUACUUACAAAUCAACAGGAUAACUGGACAAAUAUGUAGAGGGAGAUCUGAAGCAGUAUUCCAAAUGUAUUUCCCCUUUUACCCCUCUCUCUGUGGAGCUGUCUGUCUAGACUGUUAUCAGUCUAUCGCCCUCUCUCGCUCCCUUCGUUCAUCCUGUUACUCCCUCGGCUCUUCUCCAGUUUGCUUGCAAUAACAAAAGGGGGAGAGAGAGUGAGUUGUCUAGGGCAAAAAAGUCGAGCCAAUCGCUGCGCCCGUUUCAUUCCAGACGGUGCGGCUCUCGGCCAACUAUGACGCUGCUCUCUUACAGCUCACAGCCAGCCACUGGGGGCUGAUGUCUGUCUGGGUUGCUUGUUGAUUGACAGGUCUGUGCGGCUGCUUUUUUUUUAUUAAAGUGGCGCCGGUGAGAUUACCCCGCCCAUUCUCGCUCCCCCCUGGUCCCACCAACUCCAGUGAAUCUCCUCUCUGUGUAGAAAAAAACAGAAUGCCUGUGUGACCAAACUCUGGACGCCGUUUCCCGAUAGCUAAACAACCGUGCGUAUGUAGAAUGAAGUUUUUAACAAACAAUACGGAUUGCAGCACAGAACAAAUUAAGUGUUUAACUAAACCACAGAUUGCAGCACCAAAAUGAAAUAAAAACGCAGUUACACUGGACAAACACGUACAAGGCCGGUGGUGGCUGUCCCGCUCCAGGAGUCUGAGGUGCAGGAGUUUCCUCCACCCCCUCUGGACAUCGAGGGGGCCCCGUUGUACUCUGUUCGUUCCACACUGGAUUUGAGACGUCGGGCGAGGGGCCUUCAGUACCUCAUGGACUGGGAGGGGUAUGGUCCGGAGGAGAAGAUGCUGGGUUCCGUUGGAGGACGUAUUGGAUCCUUAUAUGCUGCGAGACUUCCACCGUCUCCAUCCGGAUCUCCCUGCACCUCACCUCGACCUACAGGUCGUCCCAGAGGUCUGUGUCGACGUGCUGCUGGAUAUGCGCAUCAGGGGGGGGAGUACUGUCACGACUUAUGCCAAAGUCGGUCCCUCUCCUUGUUUGGGCGGUGUUUGGCGGUCGACGUCACCGAUCUUCUACCGAUCACUGAUCCAUUUUUCAUUUUCCAUUGGUUUUGUCUCGUCUUCCUUCACACCUGGUUCCAUCAAUUACAUGUUGUGUAUUUAACCCUCUGUUUCCCCUCAUGUCCUUGUUGAAGAUUUGUUUGUAUGUUAGUGCUAUUAUGUGUUGGUGCGCAACGGGUUUUGUACCCAUUUUAUUUAUUUUUUGUAUGUUUUGGAGUUUGUUUGUCUUUCUUAUUAAAUGACUCCGUUUAUACCAA
This is a long non-coding RNA of Oncorhynchus gorbuscha (pink salmon), 2357 nucleotides long. RefSeq lists it as uncharacterized. The record is from RefSeq and is a predicted model, not a curated record. The transcript is spliced from 2 exons. Lineage: Eukaryota; Metazoa; Chordata; Actinopteri; Salmoniformes; Salmonidae.